This is a long non-coding RNA of Rattus norvegicus (Norway rat), 2470 nucleotides long. Ensembl lists it as uncharacterized. The record is from Ensembl. Lineage: Eukaryota; Metazoa; Chordata; Mammalia; Rodentia; Muridae.
CUAAGGGCCCACAUUCCAAAGGAUUUACCUUUGGAAUUUACCUUUGUUAGGUCACACACAGAGAAGGACAAGAGUGGCCAUUACAUAGGCUAAAGAUAUCCCAACACAGUUGGGGGUCUAGACUUGCAACAUUUCAACCUCCUCUCAUCACUGAAGUUCUCAUCUGUCCCCCAGCCUUUCUCUAGGAAUUCUUUCUUGUUCCCAUCUCUCAGAGACUCCAUACCAGAACAUACGGGAGGGAGGAGCAGGAAGUCCCUGAUUCGAAGGAUGCUCUGAGCCCAGCCUCCUUCUCCAUCCCUUCCUCCACCCGCUCCCUCAACUUCAGGACCUAUGACUGGAGACAGAGACCGUGCUCCAGACUUUGCAAUCAGAGAUGUUUUCACCCAAAGGUAAUGGACAUGCAGGACUUAGAAAGUCAAAGCUGGUCUCGGCUGGGGAGGUAAUCACACAGUCAAACUGGUUCAGCCAGACAGCCUGCCAAUUCUGGGUUUCUGCUCCGGGCUUCUAAAGGUGACCAAGCAAGUCCUCGGAUAAGAAUGCAAGUGAGCAAAAUAACAAAUUCUUCUGAUACGACCUUUUCUUUCUCUGAAACACGAUCUCACUGCCUAGCUCUUGCUAGCGUGAAACUCACUCUGUAGACCAGGCUAGCCUCUAACUCACGGAGAUCCGCCUGCUUCUUCCUCCCAAGCGAUGGGCUUUUGUUAGGAUAUAAUACCUUAGUCCUCAAAGUCUCCAGGAAGACAGACAGCAGAGGCCUGGACCUAGCUGUCCCUGGAGAAGCUGCAGGACAGGUGCAGCUAUAAUGGCCUGUGCAAGAAGGAAGCUUCCUGGAGCACACAUGCGGCCAGAAGCAUCAGAAGGGCCCACUGUGGUCCGGGCCAGCUCCUGUUACAAGUCAGAUGUUGGAGGGAUUUGAGAGAGUCACUUCAUUCCUUCUGACUCUCGUUGGUUCUAUCACACAAGCGGCUUCCAAACCUACCUUUAAGGUUCAGGCACAAAAGCUUCAGGAAGUCAAGCGUCUGUUUUCAAGAUGGGUAUAAAGGACCGUACUAGCUUGCAGAGAAAUGGCUGCACUUUCAUAGACACAGAAGAAGGCUCCUACCCAACAGUCAGGGGUCAGAUCUCCAAAACGAGCCCUACAAUCAGCCUUCCAGAGUUGGCCUGGAGUGCUCACCCUUCGCUCGCCUCGUUAGAAGAAUCCCAUGCACACGCUGAAGCCAGCUGAGAAUCCCUGCUAAGCUUUCGGGCAGCUGGGAGAAGCAAAGUUGGAUCCCUGCCUAAAUCCCUGGGAGAGCCCACGCUCUGUUGCCAGCACCUUGACUGGAACAUCAAUAUUGGACAUCUGGCCUCGGACCUAGGAAAGAACCAAUCUACACGAGCCAGUAUUGUCGCCAGCGUGUGAACAAAGAGAGCCGACUCCUGGGUAGAGCAGCACACUCCAAGGCAUAGGCAUGGGACAGAGCCAGGUAUGGACCACAUCCAUGUCACCUUCUAAAAAUGCCUUACUGGCUCCAACGAACCGACACAUGGCUCGUUAGCCUUCAGGAAGAAUCUAGAAAUGCUGCCCCAGUAACAUUCAGCAAGCAGAGGGAGCUCUCGGCCUGUCCAUCGACAGUGACACUGUCACCAUGGCGGCCCUCUACCCUCCAUCCUCUUCAGCAUUGAAGCUGUUACGGCUUUAAUGUAAGACAUCUCAGGUCCACGCGAUGGGACAGUCUCCACCUUGUGGCACUGCUUUGGGAGGUUGUGAACCGUGACAUGAUGGGGUCUGGCCGGAGGAUGUGGGUCACUAAAUAAACAGGCUUUGAGGUUUAACUAGUGGCUCCAAGUCAACUCCUCUGCCCUUGAUUUGCUGAGGUGUGAGCAAGCUCUUCCUGCCACAGAGCUGCCUGCCACCGCGACGCCUCCACCAUGUCUCCUAAAACAAGAUAAGCCUCUUCUAAACUGCUUCAAAGCCCUUGACAACUGCACCAGGCAAAAGAGCUAUGUAAGGAAAAGCCGUAGCUGGCCUUCCCUAAGGCAUCUCUCAUUUCACUGUAACCCCAGAACUGCUGCUAGCAUCCCGAAGUGUGCAUUAUGUGCCUACCCCGGUGGUGCUCCUGACAAGCUGCUACUAGAAACCAGACAUGGAGGAUUAUGGGUAAUGGAGGUUCUCAAUGAACACAUCACUCACCAUUCAAGUCUGAAAUACACCUCCACCUCCACACUUCACUAUAAUACCAACCCAAUUAAUAACGAUCGGUGGGAAUUAUGAAACAUCUGUUGAACAUACUGGUGUGGAGACCAGGAUUCUACUCAGGAAAGGAUGCAGUGACAGCUACCAGAAGGGCACAGUACCCUGUGAAAUAAUCACCGAAGACUUGAAAUGAUACUCAACUUGUGAUGCCUGAUCACGAGGGACAUGCAAAUCAAGCCACAAUGUGAUAUCAUUCCAGUCACUCAGACGGCCAUCAUCAGAGCACAGGGGGCG